RNAcentral lists this ribosomal RNA (506 nucleotides) under uncultured bacterium. RNAcentral describes it as "partial 16S ribosomal RNA". It matches the Rfam family "Bacterial small subunit ribosomal RNA", at positions 29 to 523 of the family's 1533-position model. The record is from RNAcentral.
AGUGAACGCUGGCGGUAGGCCUAACACAUGCAAGUCGAACGGCAGCACAGAGGAGCUUGCUCCUUGGGUGGCGAGUGGCGGACGGGUGAGGAAUACAUCGGAAUCUACUCUGUCGUGGGGGGUAACGUAGGGAAACUUACGCUAAUACCGCAUACGACCUACGGGUGAAAGCAGGGGAUCUUCGGACCUUGCGCGAUUGAAUGAGCCGAUGUCGGAUUAGCUAGUUGGCGGGGUAAAGGCCCACCAAGGCGACGAUCCGUAGCUGGUCUGAGAGGAUGAUCAGCCACACUGGAACUGAGACACGGUCCAGACUCCUACGGGAGGAAGCAGUGGGGAAUAUUGGACAAUGGGCGCAAGCCGGAUCCAGCCAUACCGCGUGGGUGAAGAAGGCCUUCGGGUUGUAAAGCCCUGUUGUUGGGAAAGAAAUCCAUCUGGUUAAUACCCGGGUGGGAUGACGGUACCCAAAGAAUAAGCACCGGCUAACUUCGUGCCAGCCGCCGCAGUAA